AGGAUGAACGCUAGCUACAGGCUUAACACAUGCAAGUCGAGGGGCAGCAUGGGAUAGCUUGCUAUUCAGAUGGCGACCGGCGCACGGGUGAGUAACGCGUAUCCAACCUUCCUGCCAGUAGGGAACAGCCCGGCGAAAGUCGGAUUAAUGCCCUAUGUUCUUCAAUGCGGACAUCUAAGUUGAAGGAAAGAUUCAUCGCUGGCAGAUGGGGAUGCGUCCGAUUAGCUUGCCGGCGGGGUAACGGCCCACCGGGGCGACGAUCGGUAGGGGUUCUGAGAGGAAGGUCCCCCACACUGGUACUGAGACACGGACCAGACUCCUACGGGAGGCAGCAGUGAGGAAUAUUGGUCAAUGGGCGUAAGCCUGAACCAGCCAAGUAGCGUGCAAGGAUGACGGCCCUACGGGUUGUAAACUGCUUUUAUGCGGGGAUAAAGUGCGGCACGUGUGCCGCUUUGCAGGUACCGCAUGAAUAAGGACCGGCUAAUUCCGUGCCAGCAGCGGC
RNAcentral lists this ribosomal RNA (502 nucleotides) under uncultured bacterium. RNAcentral's name for it is "bacterial SSU rRNA". It matches the Rfam family "Bacterial small subunit ribosomal RNA", at positions 26 to 518 of the family's 1533-position model. The record is from RNAcentral.